Molecule: non-coding RNA, 1790 nt
Organism: Myodes glareolus (Bank vole)
Lineage: Eukaryota; Metazoa; Chordata; Mammalia; Rodentia; Cricetidae
Source: RefSeq, a predicted model, not a curated record
UUCAAUAGACUCAACUUCAGAUGGUCAUACGAUGAAGAUAUUGAUGCAUCUCUCCUGGGCCAGAUCUCAAAGCAUCAUCUUCUACACUAGAUCAAAUGGGACAGCAUUUCUGUGGGACUUGCCGGCCAACAAAACAAGCAGGUGAUGGAACCAAGUCAGGGAGGAAGCAGGAGACUCAACAGGCUUGUCAGUGUAGACACCCAUCAUAGACACCAUCAUCAUCCAUGUCUCCCACUGUGGGGAGGAAGCUGGGGAGACAACAGGAGGCAGACACACUGGCACACAGCUUGGGCACUCCGAGACGACUGCAGACACUGAAGUCAUCUGCAUGGAGAGGCUCACAUCUAAGGGUCUACAUUGAGUCUUGGAAAAGACUCUGGAUUCAGACAUUUAAGCCAUGUGGGAACUAUAAAGACUUUGGGGAGUUUGGGAGAUGGAUUGGACACAGUUUUCAUUAUGACAUGGAUAUGAGUCUGCUGGGAUCAGGGGUAGAAUGUUUGGAGAUGAACAGUUCCCCGAAAGACUCAUACACUGAAGACUUGGUCUUCUUGGUGGUCUAAUGAUUGACUGGUACUUGAGUCAUGAACGCUCUGACCUUAUCAAUGGCCAAUCCACUGAUGGAUAUAUGGUUUUAUGUGUUACUGAGGAAAAAUGGAUAUUUUUGGAGGUUGGGCUUGAUUGAAGAAAGCAGAUCAGCUAGACUGGGCUUUUCAAGAAUACCUGUUGCCUGCUCCCGGCUUUGAGCUCUGUGCCUGCUUCUGUCACCUCUAUCUGCUUCUGCCGUAACCCCAUCCUACCUCAGGCUCAAGCAUGCAGUCAGUCAUCCUGAACACAAAUGCUUGACACCCUGAGCCAAUGUAAAUCCUCAAAAACGGUUUCUUUCAAGCAUUUGCCACAGUACAAAACCUACCACAAUGCUGCAGGGGACACAAGCGCUGAGGACCCUAUGCUAAGGAGCUUGUGUCCAGUGGGAUCGACAGCUCGAGUGGCCAUGGCUGGUGGCUGGUUGAGAAAAGCAGAUACAGGCUUGAAUGGGAUGGGGAGUCAUAGGCCGAGGCUUGAAGCAAGGACAGUAGAAAGACAGGCAUAGCUCUGGGCUCUAACUAAGCAAUAUCAGAGUGGUGUGGCUGUCAUCGAAUGGGCACUGGGAUGGAGAAGAAAGAUCGGAUUUGGCAUAAAAUGCUGUACUCAGAUUUAAGGAUCACCGGAGGAGAUUACCCAGGAGGCCAUGGAUACAUAAGCCUCAUACUCAGGAGGAAGUCCAGAGCUGGAGAUGAUGUCUAGUGCUAUCACUGGGACAGUUGCUAUGCUGUGGAGGGGAUGAUGGCACUGUGUUGAGUUCCUGCUCUCAGGAGACUGAAGGAGAAAUGACUCUGCCAUAAAACAAACAUCAGCCUUGUCGUGCAGUCUGACCUGGCUUGUCCCUGUCCUGCAAACUGGAAAGAGGUGUGUGGCCCAGGAUUGGGGGUUUAGCGGUUGCCACCAUAUCUGAGGGAAGGGUCAGUGAGCCACAACUCAGGACUCUUGUGGGCUCUCAACCCAUCCAACUCCCUUCCAGGUCACUGCAGAAAGCUGAGAACGGCCCUGAGAAGAGGUGGGUGUGAGGUCUGGGGAGAGUGGACUCUUGACUAGAGUCUGAGACCCCUCAGUCAGAAGGAGAGUGGGAAAGCCACAGAGGAUGCAGGGGCAGGGCUGGAGGAGGCCCUGUCACAGGCAAGGAUUUCUCCAUAGCCCAGAAGGCUCCAAGAGGGGUCCCCAGACACUCACGGCAGAAGUCUUUUGUCCUCCAG